AAUGUAAAACUUUAUCUAUAUAAAAAUUUUAUUUUAUUAAAGAAGGUGCUUAAAACAAAGUCAAAGAUAAAUGCUAGAUUAACAGGUGAAUUUUGUAAUACCUAUAACAUAAAAGGUUACUACUACUAUACAUAACAAAAUACAAACGACCCAAUUAAAAAAAUGGGCAAAGAAUAUAAACAGGCCAUUCAGAGAUAGCAAUUCCAAAGAAACAAUAAACAUAAAAGACACACAACCUCCCUAUUAGGAAGAUGAAAGUAAACUAAUAAUUACCACAUUAUAGUAUCAGAUUGGCAAUAAUUUUGACAAAUUAACAAGACAAUUGGAUGGGAUUGGGAGAAAAGGGGAUCCAGCUAGACAAUAGGCAUUGGCUCCUGAUUUCUCUCACAGUAAAAAUAAAAGGUGCUCACAGUGACCUACAAGACUCUCCCCUACAUAAUUGAUUUCCUCUCUUGCUCAUGUCUCUCUAGGCUACAUCCCUUCCUGGUGUUAUGUGAUCAUAUCUCCUGCCUUAGGGUCCUUGCAGUAGCUAUUUCCUUGGCCAAGAACACUCUCACUUGUCUUAUUCAGGUGUAGGUUUAAAUGAGGUCACCCAAACAUGACAGCCCUAUUGAAAUUUGCAACCCUCCUCCCCGUUGUUCCCCCAGCAUUCUGUUCUCCUUAUCUCCCUUAUCCUGCUGUCCUUUUUUUUUUUUACAUAGCAUAUGUCCUCUUACAUGAUCCUAUAUAAUUUAGUUAUGCUUAUUAUUUCUUUCUCUACUUAUUCCAUGCAGUAUAUAAAUUCUACAAGGGCAGAAUCUUUGUUCAUCCCAAUGAUGUAAGCCAAGCACCUAGAACAGUGCCUGGCACCAAGAGAUGCCCACAAUUUUUUUACAAAUGAAUUAAUGAAUGGAUGGAUGGAUGAAUGAAUGAAUGAGUGAUUGAGUGAGUGAGUUCACAGGGAAAGAAAUCACAUUUUGGUAUAAAAAGCUAUUGCCUUAAUCUCUUUUAUAUUUUAAAGGAGAGAAAAGUAAUUGAACAUUCUGCUAGUCUGAAAAUAGAUUUGAAAUGAAGAUACACCAAGACCCACAAAGAUUUCUUUUCAGGAAAGAAUCACUAAAUGAAAAAUCCUGUGACUAUCAGGCUCUAUAGGCACCAUCAAAAUUCUAAUUCAGUCAGCCCCACCCCCAUCCAGUCACAGCUCUAAUUUAAUCCAACCUUCUUUCAAUUCCUCCAAUUCUAGUAAACCCUCUCAUUUUUACAAAGUUACAAAAUGUGAAAAUUUUGCUUGAAAAUGUUUCUUUGAGGCUUUGAAUAAGAAAAUGAAGAAAACCCCCCAGUGGUCACAAGUCAGAAAUCACGUUAAAACAAACAAACAAACAAACAUAAACAAUGGCAUCUGUUUAAACUGUUUAACUUGAAAAUGCCCAAUUUUCUAAGAUAAAAAAAACAAACUGGUCCUUUGUUUUGACAAGACUAGAUGCCCUGAAGCCCAGAGAGAUGAUUUUCUGGAGACAACUUCAGAAUGAAAUUUGUGAUGGUUCAGGCUAGAUUACUGGAUAAUAGUGUAAUUUUAACACCUUUUACUUAAUAUAAGCACAUGGCUACCUCAUCAGCUGGCCAGCCCAUAAUUACCAAGACAAUUAAAAACAAACAUAUUAAAAAAAAA
Herpailurus yagouaroundi (jaguarundi) is the source of this 1648-nucleotide long non-coding RNA. RefSeq lists it as uncharacterized. The record is from RefSeq and is a predicted model, not a curated record. The transcript has 2 exons. Lineage: Eukaryota; Metazoa; Chordata; Mammalia; Carnivora; Felidae.